GAUGAACGCUAGCUACAGGCUUAACACAUGCAAGUCGAGGGGAAACGACAUCGAAAGCUUGCUUUUGAUGGGCGUCGACCGGCGCACGGGUGAGUAACGCGUAACCAACCUGCCCACCACUUGGGGAUAACCUUGCGAAAGUAAGACUAAUACCCGAUGAUAUCUCUAUAAGACAUCUGAAAGGGAUUAAAGAUUUAUCGGUGAUGGAUGGGGAUGCGUCUGAUUAGCUUGUUGGCGGGGUAACGGCCCACCAAGGCGACGAUCAGUAGGGGUUCUGAGAGGAAGGUCCCCCACAUUGGAACUGAGACACGGUCCAAACUCCUACGGGAGGCAGCAGUGAGGAAUAUUGGUCAAUGGGCGAGAGCCUGAACCAGCCAAGUAGCGUGCAGGAUGACGGCCCUAUGGGUUGUAAACUGCUUUUAUAAGGGAAUAAAGUGAGUCUCGUGAGACUUUUUGCAUGUACCUUAUGAAUAAGGACCGGCUAAUUCCGUG
This 492-nucleotide ribosomal RNA is filed under the name uncultured bacterium. RNAcentral describes it as "partial 16S ribosomal RNA". It matches the Rfam family "Bacterial small subunit ribosomal RNA", at positions 28 to 507 of the family's 1533-position model. The record is from RNAcentral.